GUUAAGUUGUUUCUUUCUUGUGCUAGAAAUUUUAAUGUCUUAAGUUAUCCAUGUUGUUUUCAGUUUUGUUGUUAAUCUUUUUAGAAUAUUUGUUUUUUUAAGGAAACAAUUUUCAAAGUUUUUACUGGAUACGAUCAAGCUGUUGUAAGAUUUGAAGUAAUUGCCACUGACAUUUCAAGAAUUUAUUGAGACUAUAAAUCAUCAAUGGUUUUUAUCAAUUUCUCUGUUUGGCCAUUGGUUCAGUUCAUUUGUCUGCUGCAGUCUACAAUGGCAAGCAGUACUGAAAGCAAGAAAAAGGUAAAUAACAUGUUAGAAAAAGAUAUCGUUAUGAUUAACCUGUAUAGCUUAUUUUUACUGAUGAAAUUAAGGAGUAUAAAAGGUUUAAUCAAAAAGAUCCUGACACUUAAGUAUAGGCUCUUUCUAAUGAUAUUGUAAGCAGCUUUCUGCAAUUAGCAAUAACACUGGUGAAAUAACAAGCCAUCUGCUGCUUCUGUUCAUUGUUAAACUGGUAUAUCAAUAACUGCAGAUCAUUUCAGACAAGGGGGUUAAACAUAAAGCAGUGAACAAAUGUGAAUCGUAUUUUCCAGGGACAUAAUAACAUGGUUUAUGAAGUACAAUAUUGUUGAUGAAUUUCUUAUAGAAAAUGUGGCAGGUUCUGAGAUAUGGUGCUUCUUUCCUGCCAUAUCAGUCAAACUGCCUUAAAGAAAGUUAAUGAAAUCCUCUGAGUUAACAAAAACAUAUUUGAAAAACAACUUGCAAUUUUCUUGGCAGAACUUUAGA
Homalodisca vitripennis (glassy-winged sharpshooter) is the source of this 780-nucleotide long non-coding RNA. RefSeq lists it as uncharacterized. The transcript has 3 exons. The record is from RefSeq and is a predicted model, not a curated record. Lineage: Eukaryota; Metazoa; Arthropoda; Insecta; Hemiptera; Cicadellidae.